AUGUGAUCGUCUCUCGCAUAUCAAUAAGCGGAGGAAAAGUAAACUAACACGGGAUUGCCUUAGUAACGGCGAGCGAACCGGGAUAAGCCCACCAUGAGAAUCGGUCGCCCUCGGCGUUCGAAUUGUAGUCUGGAGAAGCGUCCUCAGCGGCGGACCGGGCCCAAGUCCCCUGGAAAGGGGCGCCGGAGAGGGUGAGAGCCCCGUUGUGCUCGGACCCUGUCGCACCACGAGGCGCUGUCGGCGAGUCGGGUUGUUUGGGAAUGCAGCCCCAAUCGGGCGGUAAAUUCCGUCCAAGGCUAAAUAUUGGCGAGAGACCGAUAGCGAACAAGUACCGUGAGGGAAAGAUGAAAAGAACUUUGAAAAGAGAGUUAAACAGUACGUGAAAUUGUCAAAAGGGAAGCGUUUGACACCAGUGUUGUUUUUCUGAAAAUCAAUUAAAGAACUGUUUAUGCUAAGUUGUUUAGACUUUAUCAGCUAUCUGCUUAGUUUUGAGCUUUUCUUUAAUGCACUUUUCAGUUAACAAGUCAACAUCAAUUUCUUUUGCUGUAAAAAAGCUUGAGGAAGGUGGCUUGAGAUUCGUCUUAAGUGUUUAUAGCCUCUUGCCUAUGCAGUCGGAGAGAUUGAGGUCUGCAGCGUAGAUCCUUCGGGGCUAAAUGCAUUCGUGCUAAGUUAUAGCAUUUUAUAGACAACUUGUUGACUAUGAUUUGUCUUGUAGCUUACUCGCUUAUGUUAUUUUACCUACGCUUAGGAUGUUGAGUCGUAGAGCACGCAG
This 772-nucleotide ribosomal RNA is filed under the name uncultured Neocallimastigales. RNAcentral's name for it is "partial large subunit ribosomal RNA". It matches the Rfam family "Eukaryotic large subunit ribosomal RNA", at positions 24 to 628 of the family's 3401-position model. Lineage: Eukaryota; Fungi; Neocallimastigomycota; Neocallimastigomycetes; Neocallimastigales. The record is from RNAcentral.